AGUCUGCUUGUAAAUAACCAGGAUGCACCGCAGGAGUGGGAGUGCCUUGUUCACUGUGCAACAGAGUGGGUGCCCUUCUGAAUUGCUGGGCCUUUCCAGGGAAUACUGUGCUGUUUUCUUGAAGGUUAAAGCCAUAAUCUAGGUCAGAGAGAUGAAGAAGAAUUCAUUCUUUUGAGGAACCUAAACAUGUUUACUGAUGAGAUGACCAGAGGUCUGGAUGUGGUUUCAUACUCAAUGCUUUGAAGGCAAAGGCUUAUUACCUUUAGCUGUCUAGUGCUUGGCUGUGUACCUAGUACUGCUUUCAUGUAUUUGCUGAAUGAAUGAGCAGAAAGUACCUGGAAUGCUGGAGUGAAGCUAUGACUUGCCACGCUGGGACUGCCCAACACAGCCAGAGCCAGCUGCCGACAAACGUCCUGAGAGCAUCUGUGGGAGAGGAGAGCAGGGAUCCCCCUCGAUGGCACUGAUGGCCAGUGUUUGGAGAUCUCCCCCCAGAUUCCCGUCUUUACUGUAAAACCCACGAGAGGACAGUGUCGAGCCCAUCGUCCAUGAACUGAAACCUACCCCAGGUAUUCCAGUAUCACCCUUUGUCUUUGCUCAUUGGCCUCAAGCAUGGGAGGGUGCACAUCUUACAGAACAGAGAGACACAUUACAAUAAGGAACUUUUUUCAAUUGAGAAAGUUACCCUGAAAAGAAAAAAAAACAGAGACAUAGAAAUGGGAAACAAGUUAGUGAAUGUACAACAGAACAAAACUUUCAUCGUAAGUCAUUUUUUCUGAAAAAUUAGCUGUCAUGAUUUUUUGUUAACCUUAUAAAUAGAUUUUUGCCAUA
Long non-coding RNA from Manis pentadactyla (Chinese pangolin), 828 nucleotides. RefSeq lists it as uncharacterized. NCBI's taxonomy places the organism in Eukaryota, Metazoa, Chordata, Mammalia, Pholidota, Manidae. The transcript is spliced from 3 exons. The record is from RefSeq and is a predicted model, not a curated record.